RNAcentral lists this ribosomal RNA (507 nucleotides) under Triticum aestivum (bread wheat). Its description in RNAcentral is "partial small subunit ribosomal RNA". Lineage: Eukaryota; Viridiplantae; Streptophyta; Magnoliopsida; Poales; Poaceae. The record is from RNAcentral.
AUGGUGUCGUGGAGCGACGAGACCAAUGAGGAUUCAGUCCUGAAAAUCUCCUCCUGCGAUGGCAUCAUCAAGCUUCCAGCUACGAUGCACGAUCCAAAUUUUAAUGGUACUGACGCAGAUGUGAAUGUCUUGUGUGAACACGACUCAAUGGAGAAGGCAUUGGCCAAGCUAUGGGAUAUGUAUGGGGAGACUAAGUCAGCUAGGACCAAUGACAAUCUAGAGAGUUCCUUUGCAAUUCACAACCUGACAAAAGAGAAGAAGAAACUACAGGAGAACUAUGACAGUUUGUAUGCUGAUGUGAAUGCUUUUUUGGAUGCCCAGCAGGAGAGGGGUGUGGAGUUAACCAAUCAAAAGGAGCAAAAGCAACAUCUUGAAGUGAAGAUUGCUGAGCUUGAAACUGUAGUUGGCAACUUGAAGGUAGAGUUGUCAAAGAAAGAGGAGAAGAAGAAACUACAGGAGAACUAUGAUAGUUUGUACGUUGAUGUGAAUUCUCUCUUGGAUGCCUAG